Molecule: ribosomal RNA, 492 nt
Filed under: uncultured bacterium
Lineage: Bacteria
Description: partial 16S ribosomal RNA
Rfam family: Bacterial small subunit ribosomal RNA
Source: RNAcentral
AGUGAACGCUGGCGGUAGGCCUAACACAUGCAAGUCGAACGGCAGCACAGUAAGAGCUUGCUCUUACGGGUGGCGAGUGGCGGACGGGUGAGGAAUACAUCGGAAUCUACUUUUUCGUGGGGGAUAACGUAGGGAAACUUACGCUAAUACCGCAUACGACCUACGGGUGAAAGCAGGGGAUCUUCGGACCUUGCGCGAUUGAAUGAGCCGAUGUCGGAUUAGCUAGUUGGCGAGGUAAAGGCCCACCAAGGCGACGAUCCGUAGCUGGUCUGAGAGGAUGAUCAGCCACACUGGAACUGAGACACGGUCCAGACUCCUACGGGAGGCAGCAGUGGGGAAUAUUGGACAAUGGGCGCAAGCCUGAUCCAGCCAUACCGCGUGAGUGAAGAAGGCCUUCGGGUUGUAAAACCCUUUUGUUGGGAAAGAAAAGCAGCAGGUUAAUACCCCGCUGUUCUGACGGUACCCAAAGAAUAAGCACCGGCUAACUUCGUG